RNAcentral lists this long non-coding RNA (199 nucleotides) under Brassica napus (rape). RNAcentral's name for it is "long non-coding RNA (BNAP_LNC006247)". Lineage: Eukaryota; Viridiplantae; Streptophyta; Magnoliopsida; Brassicales; Brassicaceae. The record is from RNAcentral.
CCGUAUUUGUUUUGUAGUUGUUCUGCAUAUUGCUAUUUGGACACUAGACUGUAUUUAAAUAUUAAUAAUACUAGGGUCUUUGCCCGGGCUACGCCCGGGUAAAUUUCUUCUUAUAAUUUUUAAUUAAUUUUAGUUUGUUUAUUUUUUUUAAAAGCAUGUAUAUAUAUUAUUUAAAAUUGACUAACAAAAAUAUAAGUAA